Molecule: transfer RNA, 69 nt
Filed under: Rattus norvegicus (Norway rat)
Lineage: Eukaryota; Metazoa; Chordata; Mammalia; Rodentia; Muridae
Rfam family: tRNA
About the family: Transfer RNA (tRNA) molecules are approximately 80 nucleotides in length. Their secondary structure includes four short double-helical elements and three loops (D, anti-codon, and T loops). Further hydrogen bonds mediate the characteristic L-shaped molecular structure. tRNAs have two regions of fundamental functional importance: the anti-codon, which is responsible for specific mRNA codon recognition, and the 3' end, to which the tRNAs corresponding amino acid is attached (by aminoacyl-tRNA synthetases). tRNAs cope with the degeneracy of the genetic code in two manners: having more than one tRNA (with a specific anti-codon) for a particular amino acid; and 'wobble' base-pairing, i.e. permitting non-standard base-pairing at the 3rd anti-codon position.
Source: Rfam by way of RNAcentral
GGGGAUUUAGCUCAGUGGUAGGGCACUUGCCUAGCAAGCACAAGGCCCUGGGUUCGGUCCCCAGCUCUG